ACUCCUACGGGAGGCAGCAGUGGGGAAUAUUGCGCAAUGGGCGGAAGCCUGACGCAGCGACGCCGCGUGGGGGAUGACGGCCUUCGGGUUGUAAACCUCUUUCGCCAGGGACGAAGCUAACGUGACGGUACUUGGAGAAGAAGCACCGGCCAACUACGUGCCAGCAGCCGCGGUAACACGUAGGGUGCGAGCGUUGUCCGGAAUUAUUGGGCGUAAAGAGCUCGUAGGCGGUGUGUCGCGUCGGCCGUGAAAACUUGGGGCUUAACUCUGAGCGUGCGGUCGAUACGGGCAUCACUUGAGUUCGGCAGGGGAGACUGGAAUUCCUGGUGUAGCGGUGAAAUGCGCAGAUAUCGGGAGGAACACCGGUGGCGAAGGCGGGUCUCUGGGCCGAUACUGACGCUGAGGAGCGAAAGCGUGGGGAGCGAACAGGAUUAGAUACCCUGGUAGUCCACGCCGUAAACGUUGGGCGCUAGGUGUGGGGACCAUUCCACGGUUUCUGUGCCGCAGCUAACGCAUUAAGCGCCCCGCCUGGGGAGUACGGCCGCAAGGCUAAAACUCAAAGGAAUUGACGG
Molecule: ribosomal RNA, 572 nt
Filed under: uncultured bacterium
Lineage: Bacteria
Description: bacterial SSU rRNA
Rfam family: Bacterial small subunit ribosomal RNA
Source: RNAcentral